This 810-nucleotide ribosomal RNA is filed under the name Bacteroidota bacterium. Its description in RNAcentral is "bacterial SSU rRNA". It matches the Rfam family "Bacterial small subunit ribosomal RNA", at positions 62 to 870 of the family's 1533-position model. Lineage: Bacteria; Pseudomonadati; Bacteroidota. The record is from RNAcentral.
UCGAGGGGCAGCGGGAGUAGCAAUACUUGCCGGCGACCGGCGCACGGGUGCGUAACACGUAUGUAAUCUACCUAUAACUGGGGGAUAGCCCGAAGAAAUUCGGAUUAAUACCCCAUAACAUUAUGAAACGGCAUCGUUUUAUAAUUAAAGCUCCGGCGGUUAUGGAUGAGCAUGCGUCCGAUUAGCUAGUUGGUGAGGUAACGGCUCACCAAGGCGACGAUCGGUAGGGGUACUGAGAGGUUACACCCCCACACUGGUACUGAGACACGGACCAGACUCCUACGGGAGGCAGCAGUAAGGAAUAUUGGACAAUGGUCGCAAGACUGAUCCAGCCAUGCCGCGUGCAGGAUGACUGCCCUAUGGGUUGUAAACUGCUUUUAUACGGGAAUAAACCCUUGGACGUGUCCGAGGCUGAAUGUACCGUAAGAAUAAGGGUCGGCUAACUUCGUGCCAGCAGCCGCGGUAAGACGAAGGACCCGAGCGUUAUCCGGAUUCAUUGGGUUUAAAGGGUGCGUAGGCGGAUUGAUAAGUCAGUGGUGAAAGCCCAACGCUUAACGUUGGAACUGCCAUUGAUACUGUCGAUCUUGAAUAUGUUUGAUGUGGGCGGAAUAUGACAUGUAGCGGUGAAAUGCUUAGAUAUGUCAUAGAACACCGAUUGCGAAGGCAGCUCACAAAGCCAUUAUUGACGCUGAGGCACGAAAGUGCGGGGAUCAAACAGGAUUAGAUACCCUGGUAGUCCGCACUGUAAACGUUGAUUACUCGCUGUUGGCGAUACACUGUCAGCGGCUAAGCGAAAGCGUUAAGUAAUCC